CCCGUCCCGUCCCGAGCCGAGCGAACCCGGCCCGGCUCGGCCGCGGAAGGAGAACGAGAAGGAGGAGGAGAAGGAGGAGGAGGAGGAAAAGGAGGAGGAGGCGGCGGCGGUGGCGGUGCUUCCCCCUCCCUCCCUCCCUGCCCGGCGGGACAAAGGGCUGCGGCGCGCAGGAGCCAUGGGCCGGGGGCCGCCGCGGUAGGAGCAUCCCGGGGCCGGCGGGGACGCGGCGCUGGACAUGGAGCCGGCGGCGCGGGCCAGCGGGGAUAUCCUGAGGCGGAACCCGCAGCAGGACUACGAGCUGAUCCAGCGGGUGGGGAGCGGCACCUACGGCGACGUGUACAAGGCUAGAAAUCUUCAUACAGGAGAACUGGCUGCUGUAAAAAUAAUCAAGUUAGAGCCUGGAGACGACUUCUCACUGAUCCAGCAAGAGAUAUAUAUGGUUAAAGAAUGCAAACACUGCAACAUAGUCGCCUAUUUUGGGAGUUAUCUCAGCCGUGAGAAGCUGUGGAUAUGCAUGGAAUACUGUGGUGGGGGAUCCCUCCAGGACAUUUACCAUGUAACAGGACCUCUGUCAGAGUUGCAAAUUGCUUAUGUGUGCAGAGAAACUCUACAGGGUCUUGCUUAUUUACACAUGAAGGGCAAAAUGCACAGAGAUAUAAAGGGUGCAAACAUUCUCCUCACAGACCACGGAGAUGUUAAAUUGGCUGACUUUGGGGUAGCAGCAAAAAUAACAGCCACUAUUGCAAAGAGGAAAUCCUUUAUUGGCACCCCUUACUGGAUGGCCCCCGAGGUGGCGGCGGUGGAGAAGAACGGGGGGUACAACCAGCUGUGCGACAUCUGGGCCGUGGGCAUCACUGCCAUCGAGCUGGCAGAGCUGCAGCCACCCAUGUUCGACCUGCACCCCAUGAGGGCUCUGUUUUUAAUGUCAAAAAGUAAUUUUCAACCACCAAAGCUAAAGGAAAAAGCAAAAUGGUCAGCAACAUUCCAUAAUUUUGUCAAAAUAGCACUUACAAAAAACCCAAAGAAGAGACCAACAGCAGACAGACUUCUCACUCACAGCUUUGUAGGGCAGCCUGGUCUCUCCAGGUCUUUAGCAGUUGAGCUGUUGGACAAAGUCAACAACCCCGAGAACCACACCCACUACGGGGAAGUCGACGAUGACGAUUUUGAGCCUCACUCCGUGAUCCGCCACACCAUCCGCUCCACCAACAGGAACAUCCGGGCAGAGAGAACAGCAUCAGAGAUCAACUUUGAUAAGCUGCAGUUUGAGCCCCCUCUACGGAAAGAAACAGAAGCUCGGGAUGAAAUGGUUGUGGCAGCUGGCAGUGACUUUGCUUCACAUUGGAAUCCUUUUGUUGAUGGAAACAACAAGGGACUGCUCACAAAAUUUGGAGAUGGGAGUGAAGAUGUUGAAGAAUCGACACUAAAGCGAGCUGGGCCACCCCCACUGCCUCCCAAGCCGAGGAUGAACAAUUACCCUGAGGAGAACCUCCCUGAUGACAACAGAUGCCAGACCAUAAAACACUUCCCAGAGUCCCAGAGCAGAGCCCCAGCAGCCCACAGGAGACAGAGCAUCCCAGUCUGUGGGCCCCAGGCUGAUUCCUGCCCCGUGGGGAUGACCAGCAGCAUCAGCAGCCCUGGACUGCUCACAGCCAGAUACAGCGACCUGGGCAAUGGGAAUGGGAUGCUGAAACACAUCGAGGAGAACGCAGAAGGACCUGGACAAAUCCCUCAGCUGCCACGGAAAAAGGAGAAGAGAGAUUUCCCUAAACCAGCAAUCAAUGGUUUGCCUCCGACUCCAAAGGUGCUGAUGGGAGCCUGUUUUUCCAAAGUCUUUGAUGGUUGUCCUUUGAAGAUUAAUUGUGCAACUUCAUGGAUACAUCCAGAUACUAAAGAUCAGUACAUCAUCUUUGGCACAGAAGAAGGGAUCUACACUCUGAAUUUGAAUGAACUUCAUGAAGCAACCAUGGAGCAGUUAUUUCCUCGAAAGUGCACCUGGCUGUACGUUAUCAACAACACCUUAAUGUCCCUGUCAGGGAAAACAUUCCAGCUGUACUCCCAUAAUUUAAUAGCUUUGUUUGAACAAGCCAAAAAAACAGGAUUAGCUGCUCAUAUUCAGACCCACAGAUUUCCUGACAAAAUAUUACCCAGGAAAUUUGCCUUAACAACCAAGAUACCUGACACAAAAGGAUGCCACAAAUGCUGUAUAGUACGAAAUCCAUACACAGGCCACAAGUACCUGUGUGGUGCAUUGCAGUCAGGAAUUGUCCUGCUCCAGUGGUAUGAGCCAAUGCAGAAAUUCAUGUUAAUAAAGCACUUUGACUUCCCCCUGCCCAGCCCCCUGCACGUGUUCGAGCUGCUGGUGAUCCCGGAGCAGGAGUACCCCAUGGUGUGCGUGGCCAUCUCCCAGGGCACCGAGCCAAACCAGGUGGUGCACUUCGAGACAAUCAACCUCAACUCUGCCUCCUCCUGGUUCACUGAGAUCGGGGCAGGCAAUCAGCAGUUGGAUGCCAUUCACGUGACACAGCUGGAGAGAGACACUGUCCUGGUCUGCCUGGACAAAUAUGUGAAAAUAGUGAAUUUACAAGGGAAAUUGAAGUCAAGCAAGAAGUUGGCUUCUGAGCUGAGCUUUGAUUUCUGCAUCGAGUCAGUGGUGUGCCUUCAGGACAGCGUGCUGGCCUUCUGGAAACAUGGCAUGCAGGGCAAGAGCUUCAAGUCAGAUGAAGUGACCCAGGAGAUAUCUGAUGAAACCAGGGUUUUCCGCCUGCUGGGCUCAGACAGAGUGGUUGUGCUGGAGAGCAGGCCCACAGAAAACCCCACAGCUCACAGCAACCUCUACAUCCUGGCUGGACAUGAGAACAGUUACUGAGCAGCACUCGCCCCCAGAGAGCAGAGGGAAUUGGCCACGCUGGGACCCAGGAGCGCCGGGAAACCGGGACUUGCUGCUUCUUGUCUGACACCCGAGUUGUGCUGGUUUUUAGGGGAUAAGCCUUGUGACAUGAAGUGGAAAUUGUAGCAGGUCAUCAUCCUUAAUGAAUGAAAGUAUCAUGUAUCCAACUGCCCACGACGUGUGGUUUAUUUAUGCUGUUCCAGAGGGGAGCCUGGAGCCACAGCUGAGCCUGAGCAGCAUUCCAGCUGCUGUGCUUUGGGAAUGGCUGCUGCCCAGCUGUGAGUAUAAAUAAACAUGAUAAGAACCAGUAUUCUGUAUCCAAGCUUUGAUCACUUUUUGGUCACCUGCAUUUUUUUUCUCCUUUCUCUUUUCUCCAUUGAAGAGUCGCAUCAGUUCCUUUUGUCUUCCUCAUUAAUUAAAAUUCUUGAGGUACCAUUAAAUAUAGACUGACUCCAGGAGAGCAUCUGGUUUUACUACCUCACAUUACCCUGCUGGCUUUGAUGUGAACGCUCCUCGGGCAGGUGCAGCAGCAGCUCAGAAACAUUGGAAUGGAAGGGUUUUUUUUCAUUAAAUGCCUGUUCAGCUCUGAGAUCUGCUGCCUAGGAAGGAGAGGCUGGAAUUCCCAGGUCAUUUGGGCAGAGCAGGGAAGGUGUGUGAGAGCUGGGAGUGGUUUGGUGCUGUGUUGGCAUCGGGCUCCGUGAUCCAUAAUUUAACAGGGAGGGAAUUGUCUGGGCCCACGUGAUGGCUCAGGGACGUCUCCUUGCUCAGGACAGCUGCAAGUUGGGAAGGUCCAGAGGGGAAAACAGCCCUGCACACAUUUAGCAUUUCAGCCACUGUCAUUAAAACUAAUUCUUGCUGACUUGACAUCCAAAUCAAGUCAAGCUUUUCAGUUCUGACACUGUGUCAAAGCUUAAUAAGUAGUAAGUGUAGAGAUGAAAUUUAUAAAUCACUCCACAAAGCAUGAAAAAUGUGCUUUAGGGGCGGUCAGCUGGAAUUGCAUCUGCAGUAUUAAAAGCAGGACGAGAGAUUUUUGUCUUCUAAAAGAGUUCUCUAGUAUUGAAAUUACUUCUCCACAGGUAACAGUGACUGGUGAUUAACCUCAAAUGGUGCCUCUCCUGGUCUUUAAAACAAAAAUUAAGGUGAAGUGAAGCACCAGGUGUAGAUAUUGUAGAGCAAACACUUCUUAAUUUACCUCAUUCACUACAGAAGGUAAUUUCAGCUUCAUCUUUGAAAACACUUAAAGGAGAUCUCUAAAAGACUAGAGAAACCUGUAAAUAAAAUCUGAAUAUUUAUGGGGAAUAACUGGAGUAAAUAACUCUUGACACUGUCAUGCAGAAAUAACGAGCUGAAAGUAUUUUUCUUUGACACGAAUUGCUGAUGUUUUGCUGGAUCCUAAAGAAUAAACUUAGGAAAGUCCUCGUUUAAUCAAACCUUUUUUAGCUGUUGAAGCAUUUCUAAUGGCAUGUUGUGAAAUGCUUAGUGCUGGUUUCAUGGACAGUGGCAUUUUUUGGCAUGAUCUGCAAGAUGCUGUUUCCUAGUGUAAAACCUCACUUUGUUCCGUACCACAGAGCAGAUUUGUGUGUUCCAGCCAGCCUCGGUGACUCUGAUCAGUAUAAUUUGUGUUUAACUGUUUCAUUUAGUCUGGUAUUGUCUGUACCUUUGUUUUUGUGGAAUUUAAACCAGGCUUGAGAAAGCCUAACAGGGGGAGCUCGGGGGUGAUGAAGCAAAAGCUUGCUCAGCCCCUCUUUCCUCGCUCAACAUUUAUCAAAAUUUUAAUUACUGGAUGCACGAGGUCACGUACCUGACUUGAAAGCCUUAAAAGAGGGUCCCAGAGCUCUUGGAAGUACAAACAGCAUGGGAAGAGCAGUCUGUGGAUUAAUCUCUUUGGAUUUCCGAACCAAAUUCCUUGCAAGUGAAAAAUACAGCUGGAAUUGUGCUGACAUCUCUUUAAAGAAGAAAGGUACAACGCAUCAGGGGAGCCACGGUGUCUCUGGAUGGAAAGGACAAGACUGGGAGACUCUGAAAUGUGCUUUUUUUUUUACCUUGUUUAGUCGUUAGGUGUAACCGAGACUCAUAACUGCACUCGUUCAGUUUGUGUAACCAGGCUUUGUUCCACAGGAAUUUCUGUUGCAGUUCAGUCUAUGCCAAAUAAACUGCUUUAUUUGA
Molecule: RNA transcript, 5056 nt
Organism: Vidua chalybeata
Lineage: Eukaryota; Metazoa; Chordata; Aves; Passeriformes; Viduidae
Gene: MAP4K5
Gene name: mitogen-activated protein kinase kinase kinase kinase 5
Exons: 34
Source: RefSeq, a predicted model, not a curated record